This 445-nucleotide ribosomal RNA is filed under the name uncultured bacterium. RNAcentral's name for it is "partial 16S ribosomal RNA". It matches the Rfam family "Bacterial small subunit ribosomal RNA", at positions 354 to 796 of the family's 1533-position model. The record is from RNAcentral.
GUGGGGAAUAUUGGGCAAUGGGCGCAAGCCUGACCCAGCCAUGCCGCGUGAAGGAUGAAUGCCCUAUGGGUUGUAAACUUCUUUUGUACGGGACGAAACUCUCGGUCGUGACCGGGAUUGACGGUACUGUAUGAAUAAGCAUCGGCUAACUCCGUGCCAGCAGCCGCGGUAAUACGGAGGGUGCAAGCGUUAUCCGGAUUCAUUGGGUUUAAAGGGUGCGUAGGCGGAAUAAUAAGUCAGUGGUGAAAGCCUGCGGCUUAACCGUAGAAAUGCCGUUGAUACUGUUAUUCUUGAGUAUAGUUGAAGUGGGCGGAAUGUGUAAUGUAGCGGUGAAAUGCUUAGAUAUUACACAGAACACCAAUUGCGAAGGCAGCUCGCUAAGCUGUUACUGACGCUGAGGCACGAAAGCGUGGGGAGCAAACAGGAUUAGAAACCCUUGUAGUCC